AGAGUUUGAUCAUGGCUCAGAACGAACGCUGGCGGCAUGCCUAACACAUGCAAGUCGAACGCUCUCGGGGCUUCGGUCUCGGGGGAGUGGCGCACGGGUGAGUAGCGCGUGGGAACCUGCCCUGUUGUGGGGGGAUAACCGAGGGAAACUUCGGCUAAUACCGCAUGCGCCCCGGGCCUGGUCUUCGGAUUAGGUCUGGGGGAAAGAUUUAUCGCAGCAGGAGGGGCCCGCGUCGGAUUAGGUAGUUGGUGGGGUAACGGCCUACCAAGCCGGUGAUCCGUAGCUGGUCUGAGAGGAUGAUCAGCCACACUGGGACUGAGACACGGCCCAGACUCCUACGGGAGGCAGCAGUGGGGAAUAUUGGACAAUGGGCGCAAGCCUGAUCCAGCAAUGCCGCGUGAGUGAUGAAGGCCUUCGGGUUGUAAAGCUCUUUCGCCCGCGACGAUGAUGACGGUAGCGGGAGAAGAAGCCCCGGCUAACUUCGUGCCAGCAGCCGCGGUAAUACGAAGGGGGCGAGCGUUGUUCGGAAUCACUGGGCGUAAAGGGCGCGUAGGCGGCCCUCUUAGUCGCGUGUGAAAGCCCCGGGCUCAACCUGGGAACGGCGCGCGAAACGGGAGGGCUGGAGUUCGGGAGAGGAGAGUGGAAUUCCCAGUGUAGAGGUGAAAUUCGUAGAUAUUGGGAAGAACACCGGUGGCGAAGGCGGCUCUCUGGACCGAGACUGACGCUGAGGCGCGAAAGCGUGGGGAGCAAACAGGAUUAGAUACCCUAGUAGUCC
RNAcentral lists this ribosomal RNA (775 nucleotides) under uncultured bacterium. RNAcentral's name for it is "bacterial SSU rRNA". It matches the Rfam family "Bacterial small subunit ribosomal RNA", at positions 8 to 796 of the family's 1533-position model. The record is from RNAcentral.